This 353-nucleotide small RNA is filed under the name Histoplasma capsulatum. Its description in RNAcentral is "hypothetical RNA". Lineage: Eukaryota; Fungi; Ascomycota; Eurotiomycetes; Onygenales; Ajellomycetaceae. The record is from RNAcentral. RNAcentral also lists the same sequence under 1 other name.
CACCACCACCACCUGAGCCACUUACAACCCCAUCGACCUCAUCCACGACGAUGCAAACAGGUUUGCCGGGCUUUCGAAUCCUUUUACCACCAGCAUCCAUGGUCACCCCUUUCACAUUCUCAGUGCCAACUGCAUCUCGAAUUCGACCUUUGACAACAUCUCGACUUCUUUCAUCACUUGCAUUGAUCUCAAGAACUUCAUAUCCUGCCUGCUUUGCACAGACAUGAGCAAGAGUGGUUUUACCGAGGCCAGGGGGUCCAGUCAAGAGCAAAACUUUCCGGCCCGGAAAUACAAUUGAGUCCCAUCCCUUCAGCCAGCGUAAAACAGAGCGAUGCGUCCGCUCAUCACCAAUA